ACGACUUUACUUCUGAGCAUCUUGUUCUUGGCUGCAAACUGCCAGAUGUAAUGUUGUGC
RNAcentral lists this microRNA precursor (59 nucleotides) under Capitella teleta. Its description in RNAcentral is "Cte-Mir-1987_pre stem-loop". Lineage: Eukaryota; Metazoa; Annelida; Polychaeta; Capitellidae. The record is from RNAcentral.